CCUACGGGCGGCAGCAGUGAGGAAUAUUGGUCAAUGGGCGAGAUCCUGAACCAGCCAAGCCGCGUGAGGGAAGACGGCCCUAUGGGUUGUAAACCUCUUUUGUCGGAGAACAAAACCCGGGACGUGUCCCGGACUGCGUGUAUCCGAAGAAAAAGCAUCGGCUAACUCCGUGCCAGCAGCCGCGGUAAUACGGAGGAUGCGAGCGUUCUCCGGAUUUAUUGGGUUUAAAGGGUGCGGAGGUGGGUUGUUAAGUCAGCCGUGAAAGUCCGGGGCUCAACCCCCGGCCGCCCGUUGAAACUGGCAGUCUCGAGUGGGAGAGAGGUAUGCGGAAUGCGCGGUGUAGCGGUGAAAUGCAGAGAUAUCGCGCAGAACUCCGAUUGCGAAGGCAGCAUGCCGGCUCCACACUGACGCUGAGGCACGAAAGCGUGGGUAUCGAACAGGAUUAGAUACCCCAGUAGUC
This 460-nucleotide ribosomal RNA is filed under the name uncultured bacterium. RNAcentral's name for it is "partial 16S ribosomal RNA". It matches the Rfam family "Bacterial small subunit ribosomal RNA", at positions 338 to 795 of the family's 1533-position model. The record is from RNAcentral.